RNAcentral lists this ribosomal RNA (430 nucleotides) under uncultured bacterium. RNAcentral describes it as "partial 16S ribosomal RNA". It matches the Rfam family "Bacterial small subunit ribosomal RNA", at positions 356 to 779 of the family's 1533-position model. The record is from RNAcentral.
UGGGGAAUUUGGACAAUGGGCGAAAGCCUGAUCCAGCAAUGCCGCGUGUGUGAAGAAGGCCUUCGGGUUGUAAAGCACUUUUGUCCGGAAAGAAAUCCUUGGCUCUAAUACAGUCGGGGGAUGACGGUACCGGAAGAAUAAGCACCGGCUAACUACGUGCCAGCAGCCGCGGUAAUACGUAGGGUGCAAGCGUUAAUCGGAAUUACUGGGCGUAAAGCGUGCGCAGGCGGUUUGCUAAGACCGAUGUGAAAUCCCCGGGCUCAACCUGGGAACUGCAUUGGUGACUGGCAGGCUAGAGUAUGGCAGAGGGGGGUAGAAUUCCACGUNUAGCAGUGAAAUGCGUAGAGAUGUGGAGGAAUACCGAUGGCGAAGGCAGCCCCCUGGGCAAUACUGACGCUCAUGCACGAAAGCGUGGGGAGCAAACAGGAUU